RNAcentral lists this ribosomal RNA (427 nucleotides) under Pestalotiopsis aff. palmarum PP86. Its description in RNAcentral is "eukaryotic LSU rRNA". The stretch from base 121 to 274 matches the Rfam family "5.8S ribosomal RNA". The record is from RNAcentral. Lineage: Eukaryota; Fungi; Ascomycota; Sordariomycetes; Amphisphaeriales; Sporocadaceae.
CAUGUGAACUUACCUUUUGUUGCCUCGGCAGAAGUUAUAGGUCUUCUUAUAGCUGCUGCCGGUGGACCAUUAAACUCUUGUUAUUUUAUGUAAUCUGAGCGUCUUAUUUUAAUAAGUCAAAACUUUCAACAACGGAUCUCUUGGUUCUGGCAUCGAUGAAGAACGCAGCGAAAUGCGAUAAGUAAUGUGAAUUGCAGAAUUCAGUGAAUCAUCGAAUCUUUGAACGCACAUUGCGCCCAUUAGUAUUCUAGUGGGCAUGCCUGUUCGAGCGUCAUUUCAACCCUUAAGCCUAGCUUAGUGUUGGGAAUCUACUUCUCUUAGGAGUUGUAGUUCCUGAAAUACAACGGCGGAUUUGUAGUAUCCUCUGAGCGUAGUAAUUUUUUUCUCGCUUUUGUUAGGUGCUAUAACUCCCAGCCGCUAAACCCCC